GAUGAAGAACGCAGCGAAAUGCGAUAAGUAAUGUGAAUUGCAGAAUUCAGUGAAUCAUCGAAUCUUUGAACGCACAUUGCGCCCGCCAGUAUUCUGGCGGGCAUGCCUGUCCGAGCGUCAUUUCAACCCUCGAACCCCUCCGGGGGUACGGCGUUGGGGAUCGGCCCUUUACGGGGCCGGCCCCGAAAUACAGUGGCGGUCUCGCCGCAGCCUCUCCUGCGCAGUAGUUUGCACACUCGCAUCGGGAGCGCGGCGCGUCCACGCCCGUAAAACACCCAACUUCUGAAAUGUUGACCUCGGAUCAGGUAGGAAUACCCGCUGAACUUAAGCAUAUCAAUAAGCGGAGGA
This 348-nucleotide unclassified non-coding RNA is filed under the name soil metagenome. RNAcentral describes it as "partial contains 5.8S ribosomal RNA, internal transcribed spacer 2, and large subunit ribosomal RNA". The stretch from base 1 to 120 matches the Rfam family "5.8S ribosomal RNA", at positions 35 to 154 of the family's 154-position model. The record is from RNAcentral.